This 482-nucleotide ribosomal RNA is filed under the name uncultured bacterium. Its description in RNAcentral is "bacterial SSU rRNA". It matches the Rfam family "Bacterial small subunit ribosomal RNA", at positions 15 to 507 of the family's 1533-position model. The record is from RNAcentral.
GAUCAUGGCUACAGGACGAACGCUGGCGGCGUGCUUAACACACGCAAGUCGAACGGAAAGGCCCUGCUUUUGUGGGGUGCUCGAGUGGCGAACGGGUGAGUAACACGUGAGUAACCUGCCCUUGACUUUGGGAUAACUUCAGGAAACUGGGGCUAAUACCGGAUAGGAGCUCCUGCUGCAUGGUGGGGGUUGGAAAGUUUCGGCGGUUGGGGAUGGACUCGCGGCUUAUCAGCUUGUUGGUGGGGUAGUGGCUUACCAAGGCUUUGACGGGUAGCCGGCCUGAGAGGGUGACCGGCCACAUUGGGACUGAGAUACGGCCCAGACUCCUACGGGAGGCAGCAGUGGGGAAUAUUGCACAAUGGGCGGAAGCCUGAUGCAGCAACGCCGCGUGCGGGAUGACGGCCUUCGGGUUGUAAACCGCUUUCGCCUGUGACGAAGCGUGAGUGACGGUAAUGGGUAAAGAAGCACCGGCUAACUACGUG